Molecule: ribosomal RNA, 253 nt
Filed under: uncultured bacterium
Lineage: Bacteria
Description: partial 16S ribosomal RNA
Rfam family: Bacterial small subunit ribosomal RNA
Source: RNAcentral
UACGUAGGGGGCUAGCGUUGUCCGGAUUUAUUGGGCGUAAAGAGCGUGUAGGCGGCCUGGUAGGUCUGCUGUGAAAACUCGAGGCUCAACCUCGAGAUGUCGGCGGAAACCAUCUGGCUAGAGUCCGGAAGAGGAGAGUGGAAUUCCUGGUGUAGCGGUGAAAUGCGCAGAUAUCAGGAAGAACACCUAUGGCGAAGGCAGCUCUCUGGGACGGUACUGACGCUGAGACGCGAAAGCGUGGGGAGUGAACAGG